Molecule: long non-coding RNA, 599 nt
Organism: Hippocampus comes (tiger tail seahorse)
Lineage: Eukaryota; Metazoa; Chordata; Actinopteri; Syngnathiformes; Syngnathidae
Exons: 2
Source: RefSeq, a predicted model, not a curated record
GUAAAUCAUUCGUUAACAUUCUUGAGAUGAUUUGAGUCAAAUGCUAACAAGAGCUGCAUAUUUCCCACAGAAUCUCCUCCAAAACGUACUUUUUUUUGUUUAUUAAUUGUGACAUACAUUUGUAUUUUUCACAAUAUGCAGCGUGAGAACCGACGCCAGGUGACCUUGGGCGAGAGCGAGCGGAUGUUCACUGGGUGUCCACAGCUGAGAUGUUUUGACCAUAUAGGGCCGCCUCUUUGUGCACAGCAAAAUGACUGAAACGUUCCUCGCUUGGACUUGCUUCAGAGGACUGGUGUUGCUUGUGUUAAGUGCCUUCUCCACUUGAACUCCGCAUACUCCUUAGUCCUCACUGCGCUAUGCAGUUGUGUAAAUAUUGAAUCAAAGCACACAGUCACACUAUACAAGGAGAUUUAAUUGGACUUGUUGCGUUAAUUGAAAUAAAAGUAUUUGUCAGCCUCCGCUACCCCCGCCCCCCAUUAGCCUCUCAGAAUCCAUUUUUGACUCAUUUGAGUUUGUUUAGAGAGUUGAGAAAAUCCUCCUCCUCCUCCUGACUGUGCUUUACUGAACUACAUCCUCUCUGUUUUCAGUCAUGUUGUUAG